UAUGAACCAGGUUUUCAGCACAAGUCACACUCAACACCCUUACCCAACAGGAGGGGCGACGGAGGCUCAGAGAGGGAGUGUAGGGGGAGGAUGUCAAUGGGAGACCCCAGCCUGAGCCCUGAGCAGCUGGCCAGCCAGGAACUGGCAUGUGAGUGAGAGGCAUCCUAUUCUCCUGCUGCUCCAAAGACAAUGCCCGCUGAACAGGAUGGCAGGCCACAUCAGCAGUCCAUACAGAAGUGAGGCUGUCAUUUCUUCCCCUGGAGCACCAGUGAGGACAGGCCCCAGCUGGGAGCCAGGCAAGGUGGGUGAGCUCUGUGCUAACCACACUGGGAGCUCGGGUAAGCAUGAGGGCAAGGCUGGAGAGGUCCAGGACCCCUGCGUGUUGCUUCCCACUCCUGCCAGGCUGGCACACCCCCGUUCUUCACCAUCCCUAGCACAGAGCCCAGGGCCAGGGGGCAGAGGGCAGGGCUGGCUCAGGAGCAGGGCUGGCCCGUCCCAUAGCGCCACUCACAUUGCCCCUUCCCCUCUCUCAUCCCAGCUCUGGUCACUUAGAUGCUGCCAUGAGAGGCUCUGAAAUCCACCCCCACUGCAGCCAAAGGCCCAAGUCAGAGCCAAACCUGCACUGUGCUCGGACUGACAGGCUGGGGUCAGGAGAGGGAAGACAUCCACUGAGGGAGGUCCAGGUGGCAGGAGGCAGAACAGGAUACUCUGAGGAGACACAGGAAAGGGUGCCAACAUCUAGGACUGAGGCCAUCUGGACCCACAUGACUAUGUUGCUUUUUGUGUGUGAAUGUUUCUCUGCUUCAACAUUUUCAGAAAUUUCACAUCUAGACGUGUCAGAAAAUUAACAAUUCCAUGCCAGAGAAAAGGCCUUGCCUAUAACCCAGUAGAGGCCCCCCAGUUCCCAGCAGGAUGGUGGCAGAGCUGCUGACUGGGCAGGCCCUGCGGGUCCGGGUCUCUGGGUGCCAGCAGGAGGGAGCUGGUGACCAGACAUAGUUGUGUGGGGGAGGGUCCGGACGAAGGGGUUGUCAGGGACAGUGGGGCCACAGUCAUUCCGAGAGCUGGGCACCUGAAAAGCACAUCACAUGGAAGGGUCCCGGCCUUGCA
Molecule: long non-coding RNA, 1107 nt
Filed under: Pan troglodytes (chimpanzee)
Lineage: Eukaryota; Metazoa; Chordata; Mammalia; Primates; Hominidae
Description: long non-coding RNA NONPTRT016428
Source: RNAcentral